This 255-nucleotide ribosomal RNA is filed under the name uncultured bacterium. RNAcentral describes it as "partial 16S ribosomal RNA". It matches the Rfam family "Bacterial small subunit ribosomal RNA", at positions 524 to 776 of the family's 1533-position model. The record is from RNAcentral.
CACGUAGGGUGCGAGCGUUGUCCGGAAUUAUUGGGCGUAAAGAGCUCGUAGGCGGUGUGUCGCGUCGGCCGUGAAAACCUGCAGCUUAACUGUGGGCUUGCGGUCGAUACGGGCAUCACUGGAGUUCGGCAGGGGAGACUGGAAUUCCUGGUGUAGCGGUGAAAUGCGCAGAUAUCAGGAGGAACACCGGUGGCGAAGGCGGGUCUCUGGGCCGAUACUGACGCUGAGGAGCGAAAGCGUGGGGGAGCGAACAGG